Molecule: ribosomal RNA, 407 nt
Filed under: uncultured [Caedibacter] sp.
Lineage: Bacteria; Pseudomonadati; Pseudomonadota; Alphaproteobacteria; Holosporales
Description: bacterial SSU rRNA
Rfam family: Bacterial small subunit ribosomal RNA
Source: RNAcentral
CGCCUGGGGAGUGCGGCCGCAAGGUUAAAACUCAAAGGAAUUGACGGGGACCCGCACAAGCGGUGGAGCAUGUGGUUUAAUUCGAUGCAACGCGAAAAACCUUACCUACCCUUGACAUCCAUAGAAGACAGAAGAGAUUUUGUUGUGCCUUUGGGAACUAUGAGACAGGUGCUGCAUGGCUGUCGUCAGCUCGUGUUGUGAGAUGUUGGGUUAAGUCCCGCAACGAGCGCAACCCUUAUUUUUAUUGCCAGCAUGUAAGAUGGGCACUUUAAAGAGACUGCCGCUGAUAAGGCGGAGGAAGGUGGGGACGACAUCAGUCUCAUGGCCCUUACGGGUAGGGCUACACACGUGCUACAAUGGGCAUUACAGAGGGAAGCGAAAGCGAGAGCUGGGGCAAACUUUUAAGG